GGUGGAGCGGCAGACGGGUGAGUAACACGUGGGAACGUACCCUUCGGUUCGGAAUAACUCAGGGAAACUUGAGCUAAUACCGGAUACGUCCGAGAGGAGAAAGAUUUAUCGCCGAAGGAUCGGCCCGCGUCUGAUUAGCUAGUUGGUGAGGUAACGGCUCACCAAGGCGACGAUCAGUAGCUGGUCUGAGAGGAUGAUCAGCCACAUUGGGACUGAGACACGGCCCAA
Molecule: ribosomal RNA, 228 nt
Filed under: uncultured bacterium
Lineage: Bacteria
Description: partial 16S ribosomal RNA
Rfam family: Bacterial small subunit ribosomal RNA
Source: RNAcentral